UGAGAACCUGCCUUAAGGUCGGGGAUAACAGUUGGAAACGACUGCUAAUACCGGAUGUGCCUACGGGUGAAAGAUUUAUUGCCUAAAGAUGGGCUCGCGUCUGAUUAGCUAGUUGGAGUGGUAAUGGCACACCAAGGCGACGAUCAGUAGCUGGUCUGAGAGGAUGAUCAGCCACACUGGGACUGAGACACGGCCCAGACUCCUACGGGAGGCAGCAGUGGGGAAUUUUCCGCAAUGGGCGAAAGCCUGACGGAGCAAGACCGCGUGAGGGAGGAAGGCUCUUGGGUUGUAAACCUCUUUUGUCAGGGAAGAACACAAUGACGGUACCUGACGAAUCAGCAUCGGCUAACUCCGUGCCAGCAGCCGCGGUAAUACGGAGGAUGCAAGCGUUAUCCGGAAUUAUUGGGCGUAAAGCGUCCGCAGGUGGUUGUACAAGUCUGCUGUCAAAGCGCGGAGCUUAACUCCGUAAAGGCGGUGGAAACUGUGCGACUAGAGUUCGGUAGGGGUCGCGGGAAUUCCCAGUGUAGCGGUGAAAUGCGUAGAUAUUGGGAAGAACACCGGUGGCGAAAGCGCGCGACUGGACCGAGACUGACACUCAUGGACGA
Molecule: ribosomal RNA, 605 nt
Filed under: uncultured cyanobacterium
Lineage: Bacteria; Bacillati; Cyanobacteriota
Description: bacterial SSU rRNA
Rfam family: Bacterial small subunit ribosomal RNA
Source: RNAcentral